CUUAGUCACUAUAGCCACAAGUAUAAUCAGUUAGAAUGAUAAGUUUAACUAGAAUCUAACCCGUGGUACACCACGGAGCAAAUAUUUUAUUUAUAUAUAUAAUAAUAUUAAAUUUUACCGUUUUAUAUUUAGUAUUAAAGUUAUAUUAUUUUCUAUUAAUAGUAUAAUUAAAAAAAUUAGUGAUGAUAAAAAAAUAAAAUAAAUAUUUAACAUGUGUUAUAUCAAUCCAAACCCGUCUCCUUGUAUUUCAUAUCAAUCUAAACCCGUCCUGUUAUACUUCUCGUCUCAUGAUAUUUUAAUUUUUAUGUUUAAAUAUUAAUAAU
Molecule: small RNA, 323 nt
Filed under: Arabidopsis thaliana (thale cress)
Lineage: Eukaryota; Viridiplantae; Streptophyta; Magnoliopsida; Brassicales; Brassicaceae
Description: ATSL155530
Source: RNAcentral